CCUACGGGAGGCUGCAGUGGGGAAUAUUGGACAAUGGGGGCAACCCUGAUCCAGCCAUGCCGCGUGUGUGAAGAAGGCCCUCGGGUUGUAAAGCACUUUCAGUGAGGAAGAACGCCUGGUGGUUAAUACCCAUCAGGAAAGACAUCACUCACAGAAGAAGCACCGGCUAACUCCGUGCCAGCAGCCGCGGUAAUACGGAGGGUGCGAGCGUUAAUCGGAAUUACUGGGCGUAAAGCGCGCGUAGGUGGCUUGAUAAGCCGGUUGUGAAAGCCCCGGGCUCAACCUGGGAACGGCAUCCGGAACUGUCAAGCUAGAGUGCAGGAGAGGAAGGUAGAAUUCCCGGUGUAGCGGUGAAAUGCGUAGAGAUCGGGAGGAAUACCAGUGGCGAAGGUGGCCUUCUGGACUGACACUGACACUGAGGUGCGAAAGCGUGGGUAGCAAACAGGAUUAGAUACCCCAGUAGUC
This 465-nucleotide ribosomal RNA is filed under the name Vreelandella stevensii. RNAcentral describes it as "partial 16S ribosomal RNA". It matches the Rfam family "Bacterial small subunit ribosomal RNA", at positions 338 to 795 of the family's 1533-position model. The record is from RNAcentral. Lineage: Bacteria; Pseudomonadati; Pseudomonadota; Gammaproteobacteria; Oceanospirillales; Halomonadaceae.